UACGGGGGGGGCAAGCGUUGUUCGGAAUUACUGGGCGUAAAGGGCGCGUAGGUGGCCAACUAAGUCAGACGUGAAAUCCCUCGGCUUAACCGGGGAACUGCGUCUGAUACUGGAUGGCUUGAGUUUGGGAGAGGGAUGCGGAAUUCCAGGUGUAGCGGUGAAAUGCGUAGAUAUCUGGAGGAACACCGGUGGCGAAGGCGGCAUCCUGGACCAAUACUGACACUGAGGAGCGAAAGCCAGGGGAGCAAACGGG
This 253-nucleotide ribosomal RNA is filed under the name uncultured bacterium. RNAcentral's name for it is "partial 16S ribosomal RNA". It matches the Rfam family "Bacterial small subunit ribosomal RNA", at positions 524 to 776 of the family's 1533-position model. The record is from RNAcentral.